Long non-coding RNA from Suricata suricatta (meerkat), 432 nucleotides. RefSeq lists it as uncharacterized. The record is from RefSeq and is a predicted model, not a curated record. The transcript is spliced from 3 exons. NCBI's taxonomy places the organism in Eukaryota, Metazoa, Chordata, Mammalia, Carnivora, Herpestidae.
CCUCGGGGCGAUGCGGGAAGAUCUCUUCACUUGAAGAUCCUUAAUCACGUCAGCAAAGUCCCUUUUACCACAUGCAGAGGGUGGGGCAGAGCCCCCCAGAUGUGACCUUAUUAGAAGCCCCAGGAGACUGUGUCCUGUGACGUAACAUUCCCAGGGGCCAGGGAGCAGGACGAGACACCCUUGGGGCCAUUAUUCAGCUGACUGCAGGACCUCAGAGAGGACUGCGUGGGCACCUGAGCAUCAGGCGGGGGGGCUGGGGCUGGAGGCCAGCUGAGCCCUCAGGAGAAGGAACCGUUCCCUGUCGUCUGACAACAAACCAGGGGCUGAGUCAAGGUCAGUUUAAAUUUCCAGCUUGAAGGCGUGGAAAGCAGGGCAAUGGGACCACGCAGUCUGAGCAGUAAGCAACUUGCAUGGCUCUGCUCGGGCUCCAUG